RNAcentral lists this unclassified non-coding RNA (253 nucleotides) under uncultured bacterium. RNAcentral describes it as "contains 16S-23S intergenic spacer region". It matches the Rfam family "Bacterial small subunit ribosomal RNA", at positions 524 to 776 of the family's 1533-position model. The record is from RNAcentral.
UACGGAGGUGGCAAGCGUUGCUCGGAUUUACUGGGUGUAAAGGGUACGUAGGCGGCUAUGCAAGUCCUGCUUGAAAGGCUCAGGCUCAACCUGAGUAUUGGGUAGGAUACUGCGUGGCUUGAGGAUGAGAGAGGUAAGCGGAAUUCCCGGUGUAAGGGUGAAAUCUGUAGAUAUCGGGAGGAACACCAGUGGCGUAGGCGGCUUACUGGCUCAUUUCUGACGCUGAGGUACGAAAGCUAGGGGAGCAAACAGG